Molecule: long non-coding RNA, 534 nt
Filed under: Equus caballus (horse)
Lineage: Eukaryota; Metazoa; Chordata; Mammalia; Perissodactyla; Equidae
Description: lncRNA (ENSECAG00000033585.3)
Source: RNAcentral
CGAAGAUUUUCGCUUUUACGAAAAAAGGCAAAAAGUGAAAAUAGCUUUCAGUGUUUGUUUUGCAGCUAGCUGUUACAGAGGCUAAGCAGUCAAGCAUGCUGUCAUACUCAAGCCUCCUUCAUCAGCCACAGCAGACAAUGAACCAUGACCUUUGACACUGAGGCAGGAAGACAUGGGCGAAGGUGUAGACAUUGGUGACCUGCCUGCCCUGAUGGAUCCAGACGAUGAUGAUGAGAUGCUAAUAGAUGACCCUCUUCCUCUCUCACCUAGCCCCUCGUCUCCUGUAUCUCCCAGCACCCCAACCUCCACUGACUCAGCCUAACACACCAUCAUCCCCACCACCACUUCUCAGCCUUCCAGUGUGCUUGCUGUCUUCCCACUUCUGCUAGAAGAGGAGUCCUUGCAGGAGAGGAUCUGCCUGUGUUGGAGAAAUUCUUUGGUGUGUCUUUGGGAGCAGAUCGCAUGGCUUGACAAGCAGUGUGUAGGUCUGCACCUGGGAUCCAAACCGGCGAACAUUGGGCUGCCGAAGCAGAG